GCAUAUCAAUAAGCGGAGGAAAAGAAACCAACAGGGAUUGCCUCAGUAACGGCGAGUGAAGCGGCAACAGCUCAAAUUUGAAAUCUGGCUGCCUGUGCAGUCCGAGUUGUAAUUUGAAGAGGAUGCUUUUGGCAAGGUGCCUUCCGAGUUCCCUGGAAUGGGACGCCAUAGAGGGUGAGAGCCCCGUAUGGUCGGUCGCCGAGCCUCUGUAAAGCUCCUUCGACGAGUCGAGUAGUUUGGGAAUGCUGCUCAAAAUGGGAGGUAAACCCCUUCUAAAGCUAAAUAUUGGCCAGAGACCGAUAGCGCACAAGUAGAGUGAUCGAAAGAUGAAAAGCACUUUGAAAAGAGAGUUAAACAGCACGUGAAAUUGUUGAAAGGGAAGCGCUUGCGACCAGACUUGUGCUCGUCGAAUCAGCCGUCGCUCGUCGGCGGCGCAUUUCGGCGGGCUCAGGCCAGCAUCAGUUCGCUGCAGGGGGAGAAAGGCGGUAGGAAUGUGGCUCUUCGGAGUGUUAUAGCCUACCGUAUAAUACCCCUCGGUGGACUGAGGACCGCGCAUCUGCAAGGAUGCUGGCGUAAUGGUUGUCAGCGACCCGUCUUGAAACACGGACCAAGGAGUCGUCCUAAUAUGCGAGUGUUCGGGUGUAAAACCCCUACGCGUAAUGAAAGUGAACGGAGGUGAGAGCUUCGGCGCAUCAUCGACCGAUCCUGAUGUUCUCGGAUGGAUUUGAGUAUGAGCAUAUUGGGCCGGACCCGAAAGAAGGUGAACUAUGCCUGUAUAGGGUAAAGCCAGAGGAAACUCUGGUGGAGGCUCGCAGCGGUUCUGACGUGCAAAUCGAUCGUCAAAUAUGGGCAUGGGGGCGAAAGACUAAUCGAACCUUCUAGUAGCUGGUUUCCGCCG
This 898-nucleotide ribosomal RNA is filed under the name Melanospora asymmetrica. Its description in RNAcentral is "LSU rRNA". It matches the Rfam family "Eukaryotic large subunit ribosomal RNA", at positions 38 to 963 of the family's 3401-position model. The record is from RNAcentral. Lineage: Eukaryota; Fungi; Ascomycota; Sordariomycetes; Coronophorales; Ceratostomataceae.